RNAcentral lists this ribosomal RNA (495 nucleotides) under Schedophilus velaini. RNAcentral describes it as "partial 16S ribosomal RNA". It matches the Rfam family "Bacterial large subunit ribosomal RNA", at positions 1921 to 2565 of the family's 2925-position model. Lineage: Eukaryota; Metazoa; Chordata; Actinopteri; Scombriformes; Centrolophidae. The record is from RNAcentral.
UGUUCAACGGCCGCGGUAUUUUAACCGUGCGAAGGUAGCGUAAUCACUUGUCUUUUAAAUGGAGACCUGUAUGAAUGGCAUUACGAGGGCUUAACUGUCUCCUUUUUCAGGUCAAUGAAAUUGAUCUCCCCGUGCAGAAGCGGGGAUAAUUCCAUAAGACGAGAAGACCCUAUGGAGCUUUAGACACCAAGGCAUAUCAUGUUACCUACCCCUAAACCCUGGGAAUUAAACCUAUUGAACUAUGCCCCUAUGUCUUCGGUUGGGGCGACCACGGGGAAAUAAAAAACCCCCGCGUGGAAUGGGAGCACUCGCUCCUGCGACCAAGAGCUGCAGCUCUAACGAACAGAAUUUUUGACCAAUAAAGAUCCGGCAACGCCGAUCAACGGACCAAGUUACCCUAGGGAUAACAGCGCAAUCCCCUUUUAGAGCCCGUAUCAACAAGGGGGUUUACGACCUCGAUGUUGGAUCAGGACAUCCUAAUGGUGCAGCCGCUAU